RNAcentral lists this long non-coding RNA (597 nucleotides) under Vitis vinifera (wine grape). RNAcentral's name for it is "long non-coding RNA (VVIN_LNC005707)". The record is from RNAcentral. Lineage: Eukaryota; Viridiplantae; Streptophyta; Magnoliopsida; Vitales; Vitaceae.
ACUCCGCUUUCCCUGCAUCAUACCACUGGGGGGCAUUGAUGAUCCCUAUCUUUGUAAAAACUUCCGGCAGCAGCAUUCCGGCAACCCCUAACAUCGCCCAUCUACUGUUCACAAGCUCAGCCUGCACGUACCAUUUCAAGUUCUCGGGGUCCUCCGCAAGCCCCAGAGGAUCAAAACCAUUGUCACCAGGAAGACUGCACCCAACCAACAAACAUUUGUUUCAGUUGAACUGGUCACAACACCAGGAUUCAUCAAAGUUUCACACAAAUAAUGCUUGGUCACUUUGUCAAAAGUUCGGAGUUGCGACUUAAGCAGAUAAUAGAGAUUAUAGAUUGAGUUGGGUGGCAAAUUUACCUUCCAUCGAGGUAAGAUGGGGAAGACAGGCCGGGCAACCACUCCCCUUUCUUGGCCUCCACCUUGAAGGACCUGUAUGACGAAGAGGUCAUGGGUUUUACAGAUACUUCUCGACCCAGUUUACCGGAGGACCCAGUGAGGAACCUCGAUUUGGAGGCGCAUGGCCGGAAGACGGCGGCGGAAGCUUGGGUGGUGACAGUGGCCAUAUUUUCCGACCUGAAUUCCGGGGGAGAGAUGCGGGUU